This 1046-nucleotide long non-coding RNA is filed under the name Piliocolobus tephrosceles (Ugandan red Colobus). Its description in RNAcentral is "lncRNA (ENSPTEG00000019237.1)". The record is from RNAcentral. Lineage: Eukaryota; Metazoa; Chordata; Mammalia; Primates; Cercopithecidae.
GAAAAUAGUAAAGAUAGUAAUAAUCAAGGACGUAGAUUUUUGGUUCCAAAUGGAGAUACUACACAUUUGAUCCCAAUAAAAAGUACAAAAAAAUUGACAACCAAAUCAGUUAAAGAAAUCACAUAUGAAAAAAAAAAAAAAUCAAUCAAAGGACAUCCCCACUGAAACACCCAAAGAAUUAAAUAAAAAAAAAAAAACAACACACAAUUGCAUUCUUGUAUAAAAACAACUACACCUUCAAAUGUACAUAUUCCGUUACAUACGCAACUACCUAUACAGUUAUACGGAUAUUCUCAAAAAAAAAACAGAAUGUUUCGAAUCGAUACAAACGUCUAAAAAAAAACGUGUGCGUUUUUUUCAUUCAGAAUGUUCAGAAAAUGCGAAAAAGAUGGAAAACUCAGACAAAGUAAAAAAAGAAAAAAAAAAAAAAAAUAAAGAAACGAGUUAUCCACAUACUUCUAAAAGCUGUACAAUAAUAGAUGAAGAUACAUUAAAAAAUAUAAAGAUUGCUAUAAAAAAAGGUACAUCACAUAACAGUAAAAAAAUAGUCACUAAGGAGGGUGAAAAAAUAGUCACUAAGGAGGGUGAAAAAAUAGUCACUAAGGAGGGUAAAAAAAUAGUCACUAAGGAGGGUAAAAAAACAGCCACUACAGAAAGUAAUAAAAUAGCCAUUACGGAAAAUAAUAAAACAGCUACUACGGAAAAUAAUAAAACAGCCAUUACGGAAAGUAAUAAAACAGCUACUACGGAAAGUAAUAAAACAGCUACUACGGAAAGUUAUAAAAAUAAUGAAAAAAAUGGUAUAAACAAUAUGAAAGAAGUUAUAUGUAGUGAAUGCAGGUAUAAUGACAAAAUAAAAAAAACUGGCUCUAAAAGUGUUAACACAGAUGCAUUUACAAGAAAAGUCUCUCGAGUGAUAAUCCAAAAAAUUGAAAACCAUAACUCCAAAAAGUUUUAUUCUAUAAAAAUUGAAGGUGGGAUACAAAACGCAAACCGAGUCAUCACAUACCAAAAAAAAUAAUGUAAAUAAAAAACCAAAAUGUGAG